CGCGGUGUGGAGCAGUUGGUAGCUCGUCGGGCUCAUAACCCGAAGGUCGUAGGUUCAAGUCCUGCCGCCGCUA
RNAcentral lists this transfer RNA (73 nucleotides) under Bacteroidota bacterium. Its description in RNAcentral is "Bacteroidetes bacterium tRNA-Met". It matches the Rfam family "tRNA". Rfam says of the family: Transfer RNA (tRNA) molecules are approximately 80 nucleotides in length. Their secondary structure includes four short double-helical elements and three loops (D, anti-codon, and T loops). The record is from RNAcentral. RNAcentral also lists the same sequence under 2 other names. Lineage: Bacteria; Pseudomonadati; Bacteroidota.